This 1306-nucleotide ribosomal RNA is filed under the name metagenome. RNAcentral describes it as "SSU rRNA". It matches the Rfam family "Eukaryotic small subunit ribosomal RNA", at positions 483 to 1783 of the family's 1831-position model. The record is from RNAcentral.
AUACCGGGCCUUUUUGGGCUUGGUAAUUGGAAUGAGGGAGAGUUAAACGGACCAUCGAGUAUCCAUUGGAGGGCAAGUCUGGUGCCAGCAGCUGCGGUAAUACCAGCUCCAAUAGCGUAUAUUAAAGUUGUUGCAGUUAAAAAGCUCGUAGUUGGACUUGUGUGCGCUGUCCGCGGGUGGCCUGCGCCCAAAAGGGCGUUUCGGUUCGGCCCCGGUGGCGCCUUGAAAUCUGCAGCUGGGGGGACGUUGGCCUUAACUGGUCGGCGACCGCACGCCGGCUGCUCGUUACUGUGAGAAAAUUAGAGUGUUCAAGGCAGGCAUUGGGUGCAAUUGAAUACAUUAGCAUGGAAUAAUAAAAUAUGGCUCCUGCCGUAUUUUGUUGGUUUUGACUGGUGGGAGUAAUGAUUGAUAGGGACGGUUGGGGGUGCUAGUAUUGAGCGGCCAGAGGUGAAAUUCAUGGAUUCGCUCAAGACUAACUUAUGCGAAAGCAUUCACCAAGGACGUCCUCUUUAAUCAAGAACGAAAGUUGGGGGAUCGAAGACGAUCAGAUACCGUCGUAGUCUCAACCAUAAACUAUGUCGACUUGGGAUCGGCGGUAGUUUUUUCAUUAAGACACUGUCGGGACCACGGGAGAAAUCAAAGUGUCUGGACUCUGGGGGAAGUAUGGUCGCAAGGCUGAAACUUGAAGGAAUUGACGGAAGGGCACCACCAGGAGUGGAGCCUGCGGCUUAAUUUGACACAACACGGGGAAACUAACCAGGUCCAGAGAUGUAGAGGAUUGACAGAUUGAAGCUCUUUCUUGAUCACUUCGGUGGUGGUGCAUGGCCGUUCUUAGUUGGUGGAGUGAUUUGUCUGGUUAAUUCCGUUAACGAACGAGACCUCAGCCUGCUAGUGUAGUCGGCUGGAUUGCCUUUGGCGAUCCGUGAUUUCGACUUCUUAGAGGGACAAUCGACGCGCAGUCGAUGGAAGUUUGAGGCAAUAACAGGUCUGUGAUGCCCUUAGAUGUUCUGGGCCGCACGCGCGCUACACUGCUGGGCUCAGCGAGUUUUACUUGGCCGAGUGGCCCGGUUAAUCUUGUGAAAUCCCAGCGUGCUUGGGCUCGCCUCCUGCAACUGGAGGCGCCAACGAGGAAUUCCUAGUAGACGCAGGUCAUCAACCUGCAUCGAUUACGUCCCUGCCCUUUGUACACACCGCCCGUCGUUCCAUAAGAGUGAGGCAUCCGGUGAAUUCUCGGGAGAGCCUGGGCGUGGCCAGCAAUGGUCUGCUCGGGUUUGAACUUGCAUAAACUUGGUGCCUAUGAUUAGGG